This 199-nucleotide ribosomal RNA is filed under the name uncultured bacterium. RNAcentral describes it as "partial 16S ribosomal RNA". It matches the Rfam family "Bacterial small subunit ribosomal RNA", at positions 328 to 539 of the family's 1533-position model. The record is from RNAcentral.
ACGCUCGACACCUACGGGAGUCAGCAGUGGGGAAUAUUGCACAAUGGGGGAAACCCUGAUGCAGCGACGCCGCGUGAGCGAAGAAGUAUCUCGGUAUGUAAAGCUCUAUCAGCAGGGAAGAAGAUGACGGUACCUGACUAAGAAGCACCGGCUAAAUACGUGCAAGCAGCCGGCGGUAAUCUGAGCGGGCUGGCAAGGC